GACUUGACAUCUCCUGAAUUACUCUUAAUCGAGGAAGUCCCUUCGGGGACAGGAAGACAGGUGGUGCAUGGUUGUCGUCAGCUCGUGUCGUGAGAUGUUGGGUUAAGUCCCGCAACGAGCGCAACCCUUAUUGUUAGUUGCUACUAUUAAGUUAAGCACUCUAACGAGACUGCCGCGGUUAACGUGGAGGAAGGUGGGGAUGACGUCAAAUCAUCAUGCCCCUUAUGUCUAGGGCUACACACGUGCUACAAUGGCUGGUACAACGAGCAGCAAACCCGCGAGGGGGAGCAAAACUUGAAAGCCAGUCCCAGUUCGGAUUGUAGGCUGAAACUCGCCUACAUGAAGUUGGAGUUGCUAGUAAUCGCGAAUCAGCAUGUCGCGGUGAAUACGUUCCCGGGUCUUGUACACACCGCCCGUCACACCAUGAGAGCCGGUAACACCCGAAGCCCGUGAGGUAACCGUAAGGAGCCAGCGGUCGAAGGUGGGAUUGGUGAUUGGGGUGAAGUCGUAACAAGGUAGCCGUAGGAGAACCUGCGGCUGGAGCACCUCCUUUCUAGGGA
RNAcentral lists this ribosomal RNA (560 nucleotides) under Clostridium botulinum C. Its description in RNAcentral is "bacterial SSU rRNA". It matches the Rfam family "Bacterial small subunit ribosomal RNA", at positions 978 to 1533 of the family's 1533-position model. The record is from RNAcentral. Lineage: Bacteria; Bacillati; Bacillota; Clostridia; Eubacteriales; Clostridiaceae.